This 1452-nucleotide ribosomal RNA is filed under the name Lepisiota frauenfeldi. RNAcentral's name for it is "16S ribosomal RNA". Lineage: Eukaryota; Metazoa; Arthropoda; Insecta; Hymenoptera; Formicidae. The record is from RNAcentral.
GAUAGAGAGAGAGAGAGAUGGAGAUAGAUUUUUAAUUUUUAAAUAAAAUUUUAUAUAGAUUGAUUAAUUAGGAGGGUUUUAGUAAUAUAAAUGAAUAAAUUAAUAUUAAUUAUAAAGUUAGUAAUGUAAGUGAAAAAAGGAUAAAUAUGUAUAAGUAAUUUUAAUUAGAUGUACCUUUUGUAUCAGGGUUUAUUAAAUUAAAUUUUUGAUUAAAUAUUUCUCGAUAAAAAAAGAUUUAAAUAAAUAAUAAAUUUAAUGUGAAAUAAUUAUUUUAGAUAUUUAUUUAGAGAAGAUAUUUUAGUCAAUUUUUUAUGUAUCUAGUUUUUUUUUAGAUAAAUUUAAUUUAGAUAUAAAUUUAAAUUAUAAAUAAUUUAUUAAUAAUAAGUUAAAUAAUGAGAUUUAUAUAAAAAAUUUAUGGGAUAAUCUAUAAGUUAAUUUAAAAUAUUUGGUAUAGUGGAAAUAGCGAUAAUAAAUAUAUUUUUAAAAUUUAAAAUUUUUUGAGAAAAUUUAAUAAUUUAUAUUAUAUGAAGUUUAAGAAAAUAAUAUUGUAAUUAUAUAUUUGAUUUAAAAUAUUUUAUUUAAUUGAAUAGAAAAAUGAUUUAAUUAAUAAUAUAUUGAGUGUAAUAAUGAUAGAAUUAGUAUUAUAUUAAAAAUUUUGAUUUUUGUAAUUAAUAGUUAAAAAGGAAAAAAUUUUUUUUUAAGAAUUAGGCAAUAAUAAUUUAUUAUAAAUUAAUGAUAAUAAAAUUAAAUUCACCUGUUUAAUAAAAACAUGGUUUUAUGGAAAUUUAUAUAAAAUUAGUUCUGCUCAAUGAAUUAUAAGAAUUUAAAUAGCCGCAGUAUUUUGACUGUGCUAAGGUAGCAUAAUCAAUUGUCUUUUAAAUGGAGACUGGGAUGAAGGAAUAGAUGAGAUUUAAGCUUUUUUGGAAAAAAAAUAAGAAUUUAAAUUUUGAGUUAGAAUUCUUAAAUUAAAUUAUGGGACGAGAAGACCCUAUAGAAUUUUAUAUAGUUUUAUAAUAUUAUGAAUUUAAUUAAUUAAAUUAUAAGAUUAUAUUUUAUUGGGAGGAUAAUAAAAUUUUAUAAACUUUUAUUUUUUAUAUUAAUAAUUGAAAUAAAAAUAAUUAGUUAAAACAUUAAUUAAUGAAAAAUUGAAUGAAUUUUUUAAGGUUAAAUUUAUAGGAGAAUUAAUUACCUUAGGGAUAACAGCGUAAUAUUUUUAUAGAGAUCUUAUUUGUAAAAAUGGUUGCGACCUCGAUGUUGAAUUAAAAUUAAAAUUAAAUGGAGAAGUUUAAUUAUUUAGUCUGUUCGACUAUUUAAAUUUUACAUGAUUUGAGUUUAGAUCGGUGUGAGCCAGAUCGGUUUCUAUCUAUAAUUGAAUUGAAAUUAUUUUGUACGAAAGGACUGAUAAAUUUAGAAUAAUUUUUAUAAAUAUUAGGAAUAAAAAUAAAAUAGGAA